AUGGUUGUGGUUUUCCUUCUAAAAAGGAGAAAAUAUCCUAUCUCACCAUGCUUUGCUAUGACAAUAAACAAAAGGCAGGAGCACUCUCCAAACAAGGUUGGACUAUAUAUACAUGAACAAGUCUUUACACAUGGACAUUUAUACGUACCAUUCUCGAGAGUCAGAAAAAGGGAUGGACUGCAAGUGAUGGUAACUGAUGAAGAUAACAAUAAGAAUGUUGGGGUCAAGAACAUAAUGUACAAAGAAUCUACUAUAUAUUAA
This 261-nucleotide ribosomal RNA is filed under the name Triticum aestivum (bread wheat). RNAcentral describes it as "partial small subunit ribosomal RNA". Lineage: Eukaryota; Viridiplantae; Streptophyta; Magnoliopsida; Poales; Poaceae. The record is from RNAcentral.